This 245-nucleotide ribosomal RNA is filed under the name uncultured bacterium. RNAcentral describes it as "partial 16S ribosomal RNA". It matches the Rfam family "Bacterial small subunit ribosomal RNA", at positions 524 to 776 of the family's 1533-position model. The record is from RNAcentral.
UACGUAGGUGGCAAGCGUUGUCCGGAAUUAUUGGGCGUAAAGCGCACGUAGGCGGCUUAGCAAGUCGGAUGUGAAAUCCCUCGGCUCAACCAAGGAAGUGCAUCCGAAACUGCUGAGCUUGAGUACGAAGAGGAUCGCGGAAUUCCGGUGUAGAGGUGAAAUUCGUAGAUAUCGGAGGAACACCAGUGGCGAAGGCGCGAUCUGGGUCGAUACUGACGCUGAGUGCGAAGCGUGGGAGCAACAGG